RNAcentral lists this long non-coding RNA (1706 nucleotides) under Eutrema salsugineum. RNAcentral describes it as "long non-coding RNA (ESAL_LNC001557)". Lineage: Eukaryota; Viridiplantae; Streptophyta; Magnoliopsida; Brassicales; Brassicaceae. The record is from RNAcentral.
GGAAAUCUUAGCCACAUUCUCUCUUCUCCUCUCCUUCUCUCAGCCACGCCAUCCUCCUUCUCUCUCUCUCACCGUGGCUCUCUUUCUCUCUCUGUCUCCCUUGGCCGCUGCUCUCUCCUCCUUCAUCAGCUUUGCUUCCUCUUUCUUCCCUCUUAAACCCUAGCCGCCGCCUCCUUCCAUGACGAUUUCCCGGUGAUCCGUGAAGAGUCACGAGACCUACAAUAUAUCAAAUUGAAGCCCAGAGUGUCAUCUUUCUUCGGAGACCAAAUUCGCCCCGAUCGGAGAUCUGAAUAAGAAGAUAUCGUUAUUCUCGUGUCGGAUGUCAGAUCCGUCCAAAGGAGUGGAUAAAGCAGAUCUUCUUCUAUAAAGGCAUCGGUGAGGACUUUGUGGCUUCAUCCUCUCUUACAUAUGCAUGAUUGAAUUUUAAGUGGUCUUUUCUUAGAUCAGGCUUAGAUCUGCUUGUUAGGUUGUUAGAAUUGUUAGAAUUGUUUAGGACCUGGAUUCAUGUUGCCUGUUUGUUGAUGAUUGCUGGUUGCUGGUGGAAUGAGAUAAUUAACCUGAAUAUGGAUCUAAACUUAUUGGGACUUUAAAAUAUUGAUUGUGUGAUAUUAACCUGAUUAAUGCUCCUUAUGUCAUAACUUGGUAUUACCGAAAGUGCAUUUGAAUAAUGGAAUGACCUUUAAGAAAAGAAUAGUUGUAUGAAAUGGAUGAUUUGUGCAUAGUAGAUCUUUGUUAGGACCCCUGGCUCCUGGAGGUGGGAGUCAGUGUUGUUUGUUGGCAUGCGCUGUCGUCUACGCACGGCAAGGGCCACCGCUGGAGUGGAUUGGCGAUCCACUGGUUAAUAACAGCCGUCCGAGGGACCACUGGGUACAGCUUUCUGGGUGACCGCUAUGAAUAGCCGUCUAAGUGACCGUUAGUGUCAUAGCCUGUCUUGGUGAUUGAUGUGGAUCAGUCUGUGUGGCUGGCAGAGUAGACCUGACUAAUGGGUAUGGUAAUAGGCCAGCCAUUGGAUGAGAUUAUUUUGGUUUGCCUUUCCGGGGAGGCAUGGGGCCCAUGUUGCAGCCUACUGUUACUGGUGAUGACCAGGGACCGGCUGCUUGUGUAGUUGUUUGUAGGGUUACUCUUGAAUGUUAUGUGAAUGAUUGCUAGGAAUGAACUGUUUAUAUAUAAGUAAAUAUAUAUAUAUAUAUAUGUGUUGUGUGGGCUUGUUUUAGGAUUGGAUCUCUUAAAACCAAUUUAUGCUAGUUUGAUGAUAUUGUGGGCUUCCUUAAGGCUCAUCCUUACUGAGUAAUCCCCAUUACUCACCCCUCCUCUUCUCUUCUAUCUUUUCAGGUAUAGGUUAUAGACCAGCAUAAGUCUAUGUUGUUUAUUAUUACCUGGGUAUUUUUCUGGCGAUUUGUGUGUUCAUCAAUCAGACAUUCUAUCGGACGCAGUUCGAUGGAUGAUCUAACAUUCCCGGUUCUCCGCCUCUUAAAAACCUGGGAUAUGGAUGUUACAAGUAACGAAACCAAUAAACUAGAUUAUUACGUAGUUUGGAUAUGUUUUUAUUUCAAAAUUAUAAUUUUAUUGCUUUACCUUUGCGUAUGGAAAAUGGAGUAUUUUACAAAAUAUUUUACUAUUAGUGUUGACUAACUUUAAAAGAACUACUUAUAUACGUGAUUACAUUACGGACGAUAUAAGCCAAUUAGCCAAACAUAGAUUUGAAC